AUUGGGAUGGCAGAGCUCGGUAAUUGCAAAAGGCCUAAACCCUUCAGCCAGGGGUUCAAGUCCCCUUCCCAAUU
RNAcentral lists this transfer RNA (74 nucleotides) under Microrasbora rubescens. RNAcentral describes it as "tRNA-Leu". It matches the Rfam family "tRNA". Rfam says of the family: Transfer RNA (tRNA) molecules are approximately 80 nucleotides in length. Lineage: Eukaryota; Metazoa; Chordata; Actinopteri; Cypriniformes; Danionidae. RNAcentral also lists the same sequence under 1 other name. The record is from RNAcentral.